RNAcentral lists this ribosomal RNA (497 nucleotides) under uncultured bacterium. RNAcentral's name for it is "partial 16S ribosomal RNA". It matches the Rfam family "Bacterial small subunit ribosomal RNA", at positions 28 to 507 of the family's 1533-position model. The record is from RNAcentral.
GAUGAACGCUGGCGGCGUGCCUAAUACAUGCAAGUCGAGCGAACAGAUAAGGAGCUUGCUCCUUUGACGUUAGCGGCGGACGGGUGAGUAACACGUGGGUAACCUACCUAUAAGACUGGGAUAACUUCGGGAAACCGGAGCUAAUACCGGAUAACAUUUGGAACCGCAUGGUUCUAAAGUGAAAGAUGGUUUUGCUAUCACUUAUAGAUGGACCCGCGCCGUAUUAGCUAGUUGGUAAGGUAACGGCUUACCAAGGCGACGAUACGUAGCCGACCUGAGAGGGUGAUCGGCCACCCUGGAACUGAGACACGGUCCAGACUCCUACGGGAGGCAGCAGUAGGGAAUCUUCCGCAAUGGGCGAAAGCCUGACGGAGCAACGCCGCGUGAGUGAUGAAGGGUUUCGGCUCGUAAAACUCUGUUAUUAGGGAAGAACAAAUGUGUAAGUAACUGUGCACGUCUUGACGGUACCUAAUCAGAAAGCCACGGCUAACUACGUG